GCUUAAUGCUAGGGGUGUCCGCCAUUGACGGACUGAGAGCCCGACAUGGAAACUGCCGGGUAACCCUCCGAACCUGAUCCGGAUAGUGCCGGCGUAGGGAAGCGUGAGAGUCACUGU
Molecule: non-coding RNA, 117 nt
Organism: Deltaproteobacteria bacterium GWD2_55_8
Lineage: Bacteria; Deltaproteobacteria
Source: Rfam